AUUUAAUGCUUGAAUCCUGGUCGCCGCUGGCCCACCCUCGGCGACCUUCCUGUUCCCUGGCGGGAAGCCGGUGAGAGUCCGGCGCGGUCGCGCCACUGUGAGCUUCGUAAGAAGCGAGCCAGACCUCGCCAGGGGACACCCAUCAUC
This 147-nucleotide non-coding RNA is filed under the name Pseudomonas sp. The record is from RNAcentral. Lineage: Bacteria; Pseudomonadati; Pseudomonadota; Gammaproteobacteria; Pseudomonadales; Pseudomonadaceae.